AUCCAACUGACAAGUCCCGAAUGGGACGAAACGAGUGUUCUGGAU
RNAcentral lists this non-coding RNA (45 nucleotides) under Schistosoma mansoni. Lineage: Eukaryota; Metazoa; Platyhelminthes; Trematoda; Strigeidida; Schistosomatidae. The record is from RNAcentral.